GGCCUAUCAGGCUGUUGGUGGUGUGACGGACCACCAAACCUACGACGGGUACGGGCGAUGGGAGUCGGAGCCUGGAGAUGGGGACUGAGACAAGGCCCCAGGCCCUACGGGGCGCAGCAGGCGCGAAAACUCCGCAAUGCGCGCAAGCGUGACGGGGGAACCCCAAGUGCCGUUGGUCUUUUGAUCGACGGCUUUUCGGAAGUCCAAUAAGCUUCCGGAAUAAGGGCUGGGCAAGACUGGUGCCAGCCGCCGCGGUAACACCAGCAGCCCAAGUGGUGGCCGCGAUUAUUGGGCCUAAAGCGCUCGUAGCCGGAUCAGCAAGUCCUUUGUGAAAUCGGGCCGCCCAACGGUUCGGCGUGCAAAGGAUACUGUUGGUCUUGAGACCGGGAGAGGUCGGAGGUACUCUUGGGGUAGCGGUGAAAUGCUGUAAUCCUGGGGGGACCACCAGUGGCGAAGGCGUCCGACCAGAACGGAUCUGACGGUGAGGGGCGAAGGCUAGGGGAGCGAACGGGAUUAGAUACCCCGGUAGUCCUAGCUGUAAAGCAUGCGGGCCAGGUGUCUAGCGCUCCUUGAGGGCGCUAUGUGCCGGAGGGAAGCCGUUAAGCCCGCCGCCUGGGAAGUACGGCCGCAAGGCUGAAAC
Molecule: ribosomal RNA, 640 nt
Filed under: uncultured archaeon
Lineage: Archaea
Description: bacterial SSU rRNA
Rfam family: Archaeal small subunit ribosomal RNA
Source: RNAcentral